UCGAAAUNNNUAGACGCUACGGACUUAAAAUCCGUCGACUUUAUAAGUCGUGAGGGUUCAAGUCCCUCUAUCCCCA
This 76-nucleotide transfer RNA is filed under the name Paracolpodium altaicum. RNAcentral's name for it is "partial tRNA-Leu". It matches the Rfam family "tRNA", at positions 10 to 71 of the family's 71-position model. Rfam says of the family: Transfer RNA (tRNA) molecules are approximately 80 nucleotides in length. Lineage: Eukaryota; Viridiplantae; Streptophyta; Magnoliopsida; Poales; Poaceae. The record is from RNAcentral.